This 492-nucleotide ribosomal RNA is filed under the name uncultured bacterium. RNAcentral's name for it is "partial 16S ribosomal RNA". It matches the Rfam family "Bacterial small subunit ribosomal RNA", at positions 29 to 507 of the family's 1533-position model. The record is from RNAcentral.
AGUGAACGCUGGCGGUAGGCCUAACACAUGCAAGUCGAACGGCAGCACAGUAAGAGCUUGCUCUUACGGGUGGCGAGUGGCGGACGGGUGAGGAAUACAUCGGAAUCUACUUUUUCGUGGGGGAUAACGUAGGGAAACUUACGCUAAUACCGCAUACGACCUACGGGUGAAAGCAGGGGAUCUUCGGACCUUGCGCGAUUGAAUGAGCCGAUGUCGGAUUAGCUAGUUGGCGGGGUAAAGGCCCACCAAGGCGACGAUCCGUAGCUGAUCUGAGAGGAUGAUCAGCCACACUGGAACUGAGACACGGUCCAGACUCCUACGGGAGGCAGCAGUGGGGAAUAUUGGACAAUGGGCGCAAGCCUGAUCCAGCCAUACCGCGUGAGUGAAGAAGGCCUUCGGGUUGUAAAGCCCUUUUGUUGGGAAAGAACAGCAGCAGGUUAAUCCCCCGCUGUUCUGACGGUACCCAAAGAAUAAGCACCGGCUAACUUCGUG